UUUGAAUAUAAAUAAUUACUGCCAUUGUUGCCACCACAGACACCACCACUGCUAACACUACUAAGGCUAGUAUUGCUGCACUUUUUUUAAAAGAUAAAAAAAUAAAUAAUUGAGUGUUUAUUUUCUCAUUUGUUUCUGUAUUUUCCUCUAACGAGCAUUAAAAAAAGCAAAAAAAUGUUUAAGUAAAAUGAAGCAGAACAAAAUGCAAAAGAAGAGAGAGAUGAAGAAAAAUAUGCAAAUUUCAAAAUAAAAACAAGUAAAUCUAAUAGGUAAACAAAUUUCAAAUCUCUCAACCAAACACUUUUUUUUUUCUGUCACCAUCUUUUCCUUUCUCCAUUAACUCCGGCAGCGAUGGCGGUGACUGUGUGUGAUAGCCAAGACUCCGAUCAAUUCGAUUUCACUGCCCUUCUUGUAACUCCGGCGACGACGACGGUGGCUGUUGUAAUCUUUAUUUCCUUCAAUUUUCUUUUAUUAUAUGAGAUUAAGUUUUGGAUUUGAUGGAAUUUGAAGGAGGACAAUAUUUGGAUUCUGGUGUUUUUGAUAGGUAUCUUAAUUUGAGUUUUAGUGUAAAAUUUAAAGGGAAGAUUUUAGAGAUGUUGGUGGUUUGUUGGUGUUGAUCUGCCAUUGAUGGCUGUGGAGCUUAGCUAUUGGAUUUUAUUGUUGAAAGGGGAGGAAAAAGACAUGCUUGGUUGCGAAGCAAAUGACCUUUUCGGGGAUGUCUAGAUCUAACGUUAAAGUUUAUUUUGUGAGUGAGGGCAUUUUCGAAAUUCCACAAUUAUUAAAUAGAAGGACCUUUCUAUUGAUGAGAUUAAAAUUUAGGGAUCUAAAAGUUGAUUUUUGAAAAAUUGAUAUCUUCAAGCGUUAGUUAGGUAAAAACUUAAGAAUCCCGUGUAGUCG
RNAcentral lists this long non-coding RNA (897 nucleotides) under Jatropha curcas. RNAcentral's name for it is "long non-coding RNA (JCUR_LNC001248)". The record is from RNAcentral. Lineage: Eukaryota; Viridiplantae; Streptophyta; Magnoliopsida; Malpighiales; Euphorbiaceae.